Molecule: ribosomal RNA, 582 nt
Filed under: Cyanea annaskala
Lineage: Eukaryota; Metazoa; Cnidaria; Scyphozoa; Semaeostomeae; Cyaneidae
Description: partial 16S large subunit ribosomal RNA
Rfam family: Bacterial large subunit ribosomal RNA
Source: RNAcentral
GCUCUACUAUACCUUUGUGGGGUGCAACCUGCUCAGUGAUUGGGAAUAAAAAAUUAUAACAACAAUUAAAUAGCCGCGGUAACUCUGACCGUGAUAAAGUAGCAUAAUCAUUUGUCAUUUAAUUGGUGACUGGAAUGAAUGGUUAAACGAAUCUCUAGCUGUCUCAACAAGAAAUAAAACAAAAUUAAAAUUACAGUGAAGAUGCUGUGAAUAAACUGCAAGACGAAAAGACCCUAUUGAGCUUUACUGAAUAUUUGUAAAAUCUUUCCACCAUAAUGAUAUGAAUAAUUUAUAAAGCAAAUAAGACAGUUUGGUUGGGGCGACCUCCUCUAAAACAGUAACAGAGGUGAUCUAAAGGUUUAACUUAUGUAUACAAGCCUUACUGACUAACAAUAAUUUAAUCAGUUACUAUUACGUAGGACAUAGUGACCCGUUAUUUUUAAUGUAAAAAAUAACGAUUACAAAAUAAGUUACCGUAGGGAUAACAGGGUAAUAGUUUUCAAGAGUUCAUAUCGACAAAACUGUUUGCCACCUCGAUGUUGAAUUGUGAUAACCUAAAGGUGCAGCAGCUUUUAAGGGUUG